GAUGAACGCUGACAGAAUGCUUAACACAUGCAAGUCGAUGGGGAAGUGGUGCUUGCACCCUGGUAACCAUGGCGGACGGGUGAGUAACACGUAAGGAACUUACCUGCGGGACCGGGAUAACAGCAGGAAACUGCUGACAAGACCGGAUAAGGUCAUUAAGCUGCAUAGCUUAGUGAUGAAAGGAGACGCCUGCGGAGAGCCUUGCGUCCUAUUAGCUAGUUGGAGGGGUAACGGCCCACCAAGGCGAAGAUAGGUAGCCGGCCUGAGAGGGUGGACGGCCACAAGGGGACUGAGAUACGGCCCUUACUCCUACGGGAGGCAGCAGUGGGGAAUAUUGGACAAUGGGGGCAACCCUGAUCCAGCAAUUCUGUGUGCACGAAGACGGUUUUCGGAUUGUAAAGUGCUUUCAGCAGGGAAGAAGGAAGUGACGGUACCUGCAGAAGAAGCGACGGCUAAAUACGUG
This 463-nucleotide ribosomal RNA is filed under the name uncultured bacterium. RNAcentral's name for it is "partial 16S ribosomal RNA". It matches the Rfam family "Bacterial small subunit ribosomal RNA", at positions 28 to 507 of the family's 1533-position model. The record is from RNAcentral.